Molecule: long non-coding RNA, 1426 nt
Organism: Seriola aureovittata
Lineage: Eukaryota; Metazoa; Chordata; Actinopteri; Carangiformes; Carangidae
Exons: 4
Source: RefSeq, a predicted model, not a curated record
AAGCAGCAACAAAAUGAGAUUGGAGGAUCAGACAUCUGUUAGGAUACAUCCCUGGCAAGUGAAAAUAAAGUAAAACAAAUACAAAUACAAACUGUAGGAGCCAUUUUUAGGUGAAUAUAUGUAGAUACCAAAUUUGGCCCCUAGGUGUCCUCAUUGUAUUGUGUGUGUGUGAAUUUAUAUAUGGGUGGGAACAUCCUGGCAGGUGUCAGGUGUUGCUAGACGGAAGGAGCACACAGUUUUUCGACCGCUACGCUAUGCUACGACAUGGUAUGCUCCGCUCCGCUGUUGUCGCAUUUGUUUGUAUGAACUUUAUCUGCACUAAGUAAUGGAUUCUUGCAUGGUUAAAAGAUCCAGACGGUGAAAAAUAAAGAAAAUAUCAAAUGAAGAAGCGAAUCCGGAAGCUGUUUGUUUCAUUGGACACAAGUGUAGUAGCAGCAAGCGCGUCGAUUAGUUUUAGCCCGUCUAUGCAGCCCCUCAGUGGCUUUAAGUUUAGGCUUAGCCGCUACACAAACCAUGCUUCAGAAGUUACUACAUCAUCUGUGACUGCAGCUGCUUCAUUAACUUACAGCUGGAUGAUCGAUCCCAAGAGUUUUCUCCCUGAUCGCCAACGCAUCAUUCAACAGGAGCUAGAGCCGGUGCAGACUUCAGACCCAAACAGCAGCAGUUACAUGCUGUGCAGGGGACCAGUUGGAGAUGGAAGUCCUUCACACACCUGUUUGCAGAGCGGUACGGCGACUUCGUAUCGUCCCUGGGAUGCGUACUGGAUGACAAGGUUGUGGAGCGUUCGAAGGCGGGCGGGAAUCUCGUAGCCGCCCUGCUGGGCUGCAGCUGCUGCACUGCUGUGCUGCGGCUCCUCCUGGUCGUAUUUACGUAUGGAGGACAUGAACUGCAGGUGUCUGUUCUGCUCCUCCAGGGUGACCACCUCCUGCUCCCUGUCCUGCAGCCGCUGCUGAGCACCAGCCAGCUCGUCCCUCAACCACUGGUUCUCCUGACAAAGACGACGCACCUGAGAAGGAGGCAGAGGACGCAAUGAUGAAAAGAACGAAAGAAAGAGAGGAGAAAUGAUAAACGUACCUGAGCUCGCAGCUUCUGUUUCUCCGCCUCCAGUGAUCCCAGGUGAGCCGACAACGCCAUCAUCACCUGAGGAGACAAGAGACAACUGAGACAUGAAGCACAGAAGAAAAAUACAGCAGCAUAUUCAAAUGAACAUCAAAAUGUAGACACACGGACACAUGGAACUUUUCCUGCACAUUUUAUAGGGAAGCAUGAAAGGCUCCAAAGCUAUUACAUCAUAAGAACAUUUUAAAAUAAUACUUAAUUGCAUUUUUAAUGCUCAUCUAAUACUACAGCUUGUAAAUAUUGUAAUUUCUGUUCUCCUCGCUUUUAAAUACACCUUUAAUGUUAAAUAAACUUUUACUUUAAUCAG